Molecule: non-coding RNA, 502 nt
Organism: Danio rerio (zebrafish)
Lineage: Eukaryota; Metazoa; Chordata; Actinopteri; Cypriniformes; Danionidae
Source: RefSeq, a predicted model, not a curated record
UAUUUAGCAUUGCAUCUAUUGUAAUUUUACCAAGAAUGUGUUUGCUCUUUCAGAACUCAGGCAGUUGUGCUGGACCUUCUGUACCUUAUACAGAAGAUGACGGUAAACUUUGAAGUUUAAGAGGUUCUGUCAUUUUGGUUAUAAGUACAAGAACUCAGGCAGUUGUGCUGGACCAUCUGUACUUCAUACAGGGGAUGACAGUAAACUUUCAAGUUUAAGAGGUAAAAUGUUCAGCGUUUUUGUUUGAUAUUGAAGCUUUUAUUUUUAUUAUUUGGCAAAACCAAUUACUUGUACCUAUAUUUUUACUAAGUGUUUACAGGAACACAUUUUGCUUCAGCAAUUUUGAAUUUUGUUAACAUGUAUUCAAACUAAAAGUACUGGGUUGAUGUGGGUGUUUUAUCUGGGUUUUUUUUAAGCUGCUACUGUAAUCUGUUAAAUGAAUAAAGCAGUUAUUUAUUAUUAUUAUUAUUAUUUAUUUUUACAACAUUUAAAAUGUUACAAG